Molecule: unclassified non-coding RNA, 233 nt
Filed under: Hevea brasiliensis (rubber tree)
Lineage: Eukaryota; Viridiplantae; Streptophyta; Magnoliopsida; Malpighiales; Euphorbiaceae
Source: RNAcentral
GCGGGAUGCAUCUGUCAUAGGUGACCUGAAGAGAUUAGAGAUCCUUAGCUUUCGUGGAUCUAAGAUAGAAGAGCUGCCGAGAGAAAUAACGCAUUUAACUCGGCUGAAAUUGUUAGAUCUGAGCGACUGUGACAAACUCAAAGUCAUUCCGGCAAAUGUCAUAUCAAGGUUAUCCCUAUUAGAAGAACUGUAUAUGCUGAAGAGCUUUGGUCAAUGGGAGCUUCAAGGUCUCA